AUACAUGUUUUAAAAUACAGUUUUUCUCCAACCAACAGUUUGGAGAAAAUACUUUUUUUUUUAACAUUGAGUUAGCCAAACCAGACCAAACCAAGCCAAACCAAACCAAACUGAGCCAAACCAGACCAAACCGAGCCAAACCAAACCAUACCACUGACUACGACUCAUAGAACACGAAGGAUAACACAAAUACCAGAUGACUCCCAAAUGGCACGCUAUUUCCUAUGGGACCUAGUUGAAAGAAGUGCACUAUAAAAGAGAAUAGGGUGCCAUUUAGGGGUGGCAGGAAGCCUAGUGGUUAGAGUGUAGAGGUGGCAGGGUAGCCUAGUGGUUAGAGUGUAGAGGUGGCAGGGUAGCCUAGUGGUUAGAGUGUAGAAGUGGCAGGUAGCCUAGUGGUUAGAGUGUAGAGGUGGCAGGUAGCCUAGUGGUUAGAGUGUAGAGGUGGCAGGUAGCCUAGUGGUUAGAGUGUAGAGGUGGUAGGUAGCCUAGUGGUUAGAGUGUAGAGGUGGCAGGUAGCCUAGUGGUUAGAGUGUAGAGGUGGCAGGGUAGCCUAGUGGUUAGAGUGUAGAGGGGGCAGGUAGCCUAGUGGUUAGAGUGUAGAGGGGGCAGGGUAGCCUAGUGGUUAGAGUGUAGAGGUGGCAGGAAGCCUAGUGGUUAGAGUGUAGAGGUGGCAGGUAGCCUAGUGGUUAGAGUGUAGAGGUGGCAGGUAGCCUAGUGGUUAGAGUGUAGAGGUGGCAGGGUAGCCUAGUGGUUAGAGUGUAGAGGUGGCAGGAAGCCUAGUGGUUAGAGUGUAGAGGUGGCAGGUAGCCUAGUGGUUAGAGUGUAGAGGUGGCAGGUAGCCUAGUGGUUAGAGUGUAGAGUUGGCAGGUAGCCUAGUGGUUAGAGUGUAGAGGUGGCAGGUAGCCUAGUGGUUAGAGUGUAGAGAUGGCAGGUAGCCUAGUGGUUAGAGUGUAGAGGUGGCAGGUAGCCUAGUGGUUAGAGUGUAGAGGUGGCAGGUAGCCUAGUGGUUAGAGUGUAGAGGUGGCAGGUAGCCUAGUGGUUAGAGUGUAGAGGUGGCAGGUAGCCUAGUGGUUAGAGUGUAGAGGUGGCAGGUAGCCUAGUGGUUAGAGUGUAGGGGCGGCAGGUAGCCUAGUGGUUAGAGUGUAGAGGUGGCAGGUAGCCUAGUGGUUAGAGUGUAGAGGUGGCAGGUAGCCUAGUGGUUAGAGUGUAGAGGUGGCAGGUAGCCUAGUGGUUAGAGUGUAGAGGUGGCAGGUAGCCUAGUGGUUAGAGUGUAGGGGCGGCAGGUAGCCUAGUGGUUAGAGUGUAGGGGCGGCAGGUAGCCUAGUGGG
Long non-coding RNA from Oncorhynchus keta (chum salmon), 1328 nucleotides. RefSeq lists it as uncharacterized. Lineage: Eukaryota; Metazoa; Chordata; Actinopteri; Salmoniformes; Salmonidae. The transcript has 3 exons. The record is from RefSeq and is a predicted model, not a curated record.